RNAcentral lists this ribosomal RNA (158 nucleotides) under Ascomycota sp. Js_6757. RNAcentral describes it as "5.8S ribosomal RNA". It matches the Rfam family "5.8S ribosomal RNA". Rfam says of the family: 5.8S ribosomal RNA (5.8S rRNA) is a component of the large subunit of the eukaryotic ribosome. Lineage: Eukaryota; Fungi; Ascomycota. The record is from RNAcentral.
CAAUGGAUCUCUUGGCUCUGGCAUCGAUGAAGAACGCAGCGAAAUGCGAUAAGUAGUGUGAAUUGCAGAAUUCAGUGAAUCAUCGAAUCUUUGAACGCACAUUGCGCCCCUCGGUAUUCCGUGGGGCAUGCCUGUUCGAGCGUCAUCUACACCCUCAA